UCGAGCGAGAAAGCGGGGGCAACCCUGUGAGUACAGCGGCGCACGGGUGAGUAACACGUGGAUGAUCUACCUCCAAGUGGGGAAUAACUCUGGGAAACCGGAGCUAAGACCGCAUACGCCUGCAAAGGGAAAGCCUGCAAGGGCGCUGGGAGAGGAGUCCGCGACCGAUUAGCUAGUUGGUGAGGUAACGGCUCACCAAGGCGACGAUCGGUAGCCGGCCUGAGAGGGCACACGGCCACACUGGCACUGAAACACGGGCCAGACUCCUACGGGAGGCAGCAGUGGGGAAUCUUGCACAAUGGAGGAAACUCUGAUGCAGCGACGCCGCGUGAGCGAUGAAGCCCUUCGGGGUGUAAAGCUCUUUCGGCAGGGACGAUAAUGACGGUACCUGCAGAAGAAGCUGCGGCUAACUACGUGCCAGCAGCCGCGGUAAUACGUAGGCAGCAAGCGUUGUUCGGA
RNAcentral lists this ribosomal RNA (459 nucleotides) under uncultured bacterium. Its description in RNAcentral is "bacterial SSU rRNA". It matches the Rfam family "Bacterial small subunit ribosomal RNA", at positions 62 to 549 of the family's 1533-position model. The record is from RNAcentral.